CAAACUUGGAUCCAUAUGUUGGUAAUCGCUUCUUUCAAUUUAUGAUCAUCCAAACAUCACGUUCUUGAUCAUUGGAGCACUUAAUCGACGGUAACAACAUCAAUCCCAUCUUAGGUUCUUUAAUUUAUGUCUUUUUUUUUGUAAUUUUGUAUAUGCUUUGGAUUAUCAUCGACUGAAAAAUCUGAUUUCUGGUCAAACCCUAAAAUGGUGAUGGAUCAUCACACGUAAAUUCUUCUUUCUUCAAUAUCGUUUACUUUUUGGUUUACGUCCGAUUCAUCGCUUCGUCUACCAAAACCCUAACUCCCUCCCACACAAUUAAUUCGGCAUCUCAUCUACUCAUCUGGUAUGUAGGAGAUAGAUACGCGUAAUCGGAAGCCUACUCAGGGUGCAGAUUGCUCUGUUGUCAUGGAAUCUGGUGAUUGGAGGGCUGAAGUGUCAGCGGAUUCACGGAAAAGGAUAAGAUACAAGAUAUCGGAAACCUUGAACAGGAAUAUUCCAUUCUCUACAUUAGAGGGACUACAGGAGCUUAAGAAAGUAGCUGUGAGGUUUGAAGAGAAGAUUUAUGCUGCUUCCAUAAGCACGAUUUGUUGUGCUGUGUCCUUUAAUAUUACAUAAAAUAGUUAUGUAGUGUUUGCUUUUUUUUCUCUUUUGUGGAAUGGAGAUUUUGUAAGUGUUUAUGUACAGAUGAUUUGAAAUUGCACAAGAAAGUGAUAUCAUGUUUCAUUGCGGGACCUAAACUUAUGUAUUUUAUUUGGUUUGCAGUCUGAUUAUUUACGGAAGAUAUCCUUGAAGAUGCUGACUUUGGAAUCAGAUGAUCCCAUGUCAGAGUCAGACCCCAUGCAGUCAAACUCUGCUGCUAAUAGUGUAAACCCGCCGAUCAUAUUUCAUAAUACACCAUCAUUCAAUAGCCAGGGUGUAAGUGGCGUUGUUGGUGACUGGAGGGCUCCAUUGGAACGGGAACGGGUCGUGAACAAGAUGUAUGAACUUUUAUUUUUCUUUUAUGAAAAGAUCCAAUAUUAUGAUACAAUAUUAAUAGUUGGAGGAGGGCCGACUGUUGUGGAACUCGUGGAUAUUAUGAUACAAUAUUAAUAGUUGGAGGAAGGCCCACUGUUGUGGAACUCGUGGAUGAAGUUGCAGAUUAUGAAAAGAUUCAAUAUUCUGAUACAAUAUCAUUAUAUGGUUCAUCGUGGAUCAAAGAGACUAUUCUCGAUUUGAUUGUUUGGAUGAUCAUGGAUGGUUAAUGGUUGAUGAGAAUUUAUAGGUCAGGGUUUUCGCUAAUAUUUUUGCGAUUGGAGUUGUUACCGAUGUUCAUGUAAGUUGGCCCAUUUAUGCAUUCUUUUCAUGUUUUUCUUUUUCUCUCAAAAAAAUAAUAUUUAUGUACUUUUUUUAUAGAUGUGGUACAUUGACGUUUCUCACACAUUUUUUUCGGCCAUGUAUUUAACUCUGGGUCAGAGUCACUCAAAGUGUAUCUAUAAAGCCAUAUUCUAAA
This is an RNA transcript of Helianthus annuus (common sunflower), 1489 nucleotides long. RefSeq lists it as uncharacterized. The record is from RefSeq and is a predicted model, not a curated record. The transcript is spliced from 3 exons. Lineage: Eukaryota; Viridiplantae; Streptophyta; Magnoliopsida; Asterales; Asteraceae.